This 492-nucleotide ribosomal RNA is filed under the name uncultured bacterium. RNAcentral describes it as "partial 16S ribosomal RNA". It matches the Rfam family "Bacterial small subunit ribosomal RNA", at positions 28 to 507 of the family's 1533-position model. The record is from RNAcentral.
GAUGAACGCUAGCUGUAGGCUUAACACAUGCAAGUCGAGGGAAAACGGCAUUAUGUGCUUGCACAUUUUGGACGUCGACCGGCGCACGGGUGAGUUUCGCGUCUCCACUCUGCCCUUUACUUGGGGAUACCCCGUUGAAAGUCGGCCUAAUACCUGAUGUAAUUCAUUGAUGGCAUCAGAUAUGAAUAAUAGUUUUAUCGGUAAUGGAUGGGGCUGCGUCUGAUUAGCUUGUUGGUGAGGUAACGGCUCACCAAGGCGACGAUCAGUAGGGGUUCUGAGAGGAAGCUCCCCCGCAACUGAGCCGAGACACAGACCAAACUCCUAGGGAAGGGAACAGUAACGAAUGUUAGUCAAGGAGCGCAAGCGUGAACCAGCCAAGUAGCGGACGGAAAGACGGCCCUAUGAGUUGUAAACUGCUUUGGUACGAGAAUAAUGUGAGGAACGUGGGCGGUAUUGAAGGUACCGUAUGAAUAAGGACCGGCUAAUUCCGUG